Rhagoletis zephyria (snowberry fruit fly) is the source of this 252-nucleotide long non-coding RNA. RefSeq lists it as uncharacterized. NCBI's taxonomy places the organism in Eukaryota, Metazoa, Arthropoda, Insecta, Diptera, Tephritidae. The record is from RefSeq and is a predicted model, not a curated record.
UGCGUGCUGAGUUGCGCAUCAAGGAGAGUAAGGAAUUUAAGAACACUGUGGAUAAAUUGGUGCAAAGGGCGAAUGCCUCACUUCUGAUUGGUACUUCGUCAUGGAAGGAACAAUUUGCGGAUGCGUUAACAGUGACUCCAGGCGAUGAUGAUGAUGGCAAUGGCGAAGGUGGUGAGGAUGAUGAGCCACAGUCGCCCUCUUGCUUCGAUUACAUUUUGCAUUUCCUAACAAUCUUCUGGAAACUUAUUUUUG